This is a long non-coding RNA of Scylla paramamosain (green mud crab), 1084 nucleotides long. RefSeq lists it as uncharacterized. The transcript is spliced from 2 exons. The record is from RefSeq and is a predicted model, not a curated record. Lineage: Eukaryota; Metazoa; Arthropoda; Malacostraca; Decapoda; Portunidae.
GGAAGGGAAGGAGGAAGUAAAGUAGGAAGGAGUAAGGCAUAACCCAGUUACUUCUCCAGAGGAUUGAGCUCAGGUGCUGCCAUUACUGAAGGGACUACUGAACCAUCCUGUCAAUAAUACUCCGCCUACUCAAGGAAACGGAUUUUGUUGCAUAAACUACCACCCUCCAGGGAGAAGGGAGAGAGCGCAUCACUGCAUCACUACCAUGAAGUUCUCUUCCUGCUCCAUAUGUUAUCAAACUGACUGAUGAGUUGUUCUGCCUUCAUCUGUGAAUAACAACAGUGCGUCUUUGGUGCCAGUACAGGAGUUGACCACCUCUAGCUAUAGAAAUGAGUAAUUUAUUUUUAUCUAAUUUAUUUCUAUAAAUUAUAAAUCUAUCAAAUAUUGUCUUUCACUGGCGUGGUGCCAGUACAGGAGUUGACUACCUCUAGCUAUAUAGUGAGAUUAUAUUGCCAGAAAUUGCUUAUUUAUCAGUGAUGCAGUAAAAGCCAAAAAUGUAUUAGAUUUGGAUCUGCUAGUAACCAGCUUAAAAAAAUUUGAAUUUUUACUGAAAAUUGUCUUAAGAGUUUAAGUCUACAGAAUUCUCCAGUUUUUCCCCCCAAAAAUUGUCAACUUAUGAAACUCUUAGGACAAUUUUUCAUCUUUAAGUUGGGUACUAGCAGAAUCCAAAUCUAAUACAUUUUUGGCUUUUUAGUGCAUCACUGAUAGAUAAGCAACUUCUGACAAUAUGAUUUUACUAUAUAAAUGUUAAAAAUACCUUUGAAAUACAGAACUUCAUUCUGAAGUCUAAUGUAGAACACAGUAGCUGCAAUUGAAGUUCUAAAAAGCUGAGAAGCUGGCUACAUAAUCAAAAUAUUUAGCCUAAAUGUUUAAAAAAUGCAUAUCAAACCAACACACAAUACUUCACUAAAUUAGAGACAUAAAAAGAAUAACUACAUUUGGCUACAACAGCUGCACAAAGACCUUGCAAUUGUGACUAGACUUGCAUCUGUAGAAAGUGUAAUGCUUCAUGUCUGUGCAAUUUGGACCAUUAAACACAAACUGAAAGGCUUGGAGCAUACUGAAAAGAACACGAUGAGAUGGA